Molecule: long non-coding RNA, 718 nt
Filed under: Nicotiana benthamiana
Lineage: Eukaryota; Viridiplantae; Streptophyta; Magnoliopsida; Solanales; Solanaceae
Description: long non-coding RNA (NBEN_LNC014861)
Source: RNAcentral
UUUUUUCAGCCUAAUUGUUUUUUCUUUGAAAAAACUUAAGAAUUGGCGUAUCUUAGCCUCUCUUCUUGGCUUGACUAAGCCACGUCAACGUCAUCGUGAAACCACAAUUACAACCAACCACUAAAACUCCAACCAAGCUACCAAAAAUUACCUAAAUCUGUCCUUUCAUCAUAAAAUUCCACUGCCCAUAACCUCCAAAGCAUUGCCUAAUUCAUUUAAGCCAAAACUACUUUCAAAUCCAACUGAUAAGCAGCAAAAAUUACAGCAACAAUAGUUGCGAAAAACCACCAAAUCUCCAUUAUAUAAACGUCCUCUUUCCUCCAACAACACCUCCAUUCUAAUAGAAACACACAAAUAACAACCAUUUAUUUGAAUCAGCCGGUAAUUUUAAGGAUAAUUUUAUACCAAAAAUAAUUAGAGAAAUAAAAGUGAUAUAAGCCCAAACUCAUAGUCAAGAAACGAUGAAGAUAGAAGAGUGAAGAUUCCAAUAUAAUCAUUUCGUUCAGAUUUGCUCGGAGAUUAAUUUUUCGGUGAGAGAGGUCUCAUGAGAGGAGCUUUUCCGACGAGUUUCGUCACUGAUCACUUAGUGGGAAGGUGAAGGGGCCUAAUAGGAAUGACUUAUUUUCAAUUUGUUAAAUGGAAGGUGGAUUUGAAGGAAGAAGAUGAAGGGGGUGGCGUGGCGCUGGUGGGCGGAAGAAGAAGAUGAAGUUAGUUUUUU